GUCGUCGUGGCCGAGUGGUUAAGGCGACAGACUAGAAAUCUGUUGGGCUCUGCCCGCACUGGUUCGAAUCCUGUCGGCGACG
This is a non-coding RNA of Ciona savignyi (Pacific transparent sea squirt), 82 nucleotides long. The record is from Rfam. NCBI's taxonomy places the organism in Eukaryota, Metazoa, Chordata, Ascidiacea, Phlebobranchia, Cionidae.